Long non-coding RNA from Brassica napus (rape), 1393 nucleotides. RefSeq lists it as uncharacterized. The transcript is spliced from 4 exons. NCBI's taxonomy places the organism in Eukaryota, Viridiplantae, Streptophyta, Magnoliopsida, Brassicales, Brassicaceae. The record is from RefSeq and is a predicted model, not a curated record.
GUUAAAGCCUCUAAGAGAUCCAUUGGGAAUUAGGUUUCGUCUUCCUCUUGCGCCUGCGAUCUGAACGAUGAAAUUUCCAGAGACUUCAAGCGCAGUUUCGAUCUUCGUAACAUUUCAACCAUCGAUAAAUCUAUUCUUUAAUGGCGACAAUAAAAUCUCCCCACUUUAUGCUCUUAUUUAAGUUUCUGUUGAUUAUGAAUCAACUAUAGACACUAUACAUCUAGAUCGUCCAUAACCCAAUGCUACAUCUCAUGGUCAUGGCUUCUUCAAAAUCUUAGAUUACUCAAUAUCUCAAAUAUACGAUUCCAAAUUGGAGAUAUCUCAAAUCCUCCUUUCAGAGUUGCCCGCAAUGGGAACUAUCCAAAUUGACAGUGUGUUUUGCGUCACAAGUCGACUCGAUGAAAAAAUUAUUGAUAACGGGUGUAAAGCCAAAAGUCAUCAUUGCAAGUUUGCAACCUGCACUAAUCCUAAAUUAGUUGGAGGUUGUCUAUUAUCCAGUGUAAUCUCCAGAACACACUCCUACUUUGAUAUGAAAGCCUGGUCAGCCAGAGUUACCUUAACAAGUAAGAGGCUUCAAACUGGAGAUUUUGGAAUAAUUUCCAUCUCCACUACUCACCGGAGGUCUUGUGGAAGUGGCGUAAGUUGCUCCUAAAAUUCUUCCAAAUAUGGAGGUGUUCAGAUAAUAGAGUCAAUCACACUGGCUGCAUUCUCCACCACAAGUUCGUUUUCUUACAUCUUACAUUGCAUUAACUCUCAGCUGUGUUUUGAAUGUCACUUGCUCUACUCUAAUCAAUAUGCAAAUAUAACACCACAGAACGUGGAGUCCCUCUGCACUCCCAAGUUGGUGGCAUUGAGACUAUAACAGAUGGUGCUACAUAUCAUGUUCUAAUUGCUCACGAAAACUACAAUGCAGAUUCACAUAUGCAGGGUGCCGUUACGAGAAUGCUGUUGGGUUGUUUACCUGAAUUACCAUCAGUGUGAAACCUCUCAUGAGGUGGACAGAAGAAGUGCAGAGAACACAACAGGUUGCCCUGAAGCUACAAUUGAUGAAGGAAGCACAAUGGACUCAACACAACUACCUUGUCAAACGGAGACAGUGGUAAGCAUUGACAGCAAAGCAAGUGAUGUCACGCGGAAACAACAACAAUGCAGCAAGAGUAUUAGCUAAUCAUCAUCAUCAUCAAGUGAAAUAAGGGUUUGGGCAUGCUUAGUGUUAGGGUGACAUGCAAGUCGUGUAACUUCAGUCUCUGUUUAUGAUGGUUUUAUAUUUGUCUAUUUCUAUUAACGAAAAGAAAAAUAACUUUUUAUUAUCAUGGUCUGCAAGUUAGGUACUCCUACUCCCGUUUAGCCUUAGACUUUGUUUAACAUCAAAUAAAACUCACAUACUUAUUAA